This 737-nucleotide ribosomal RNA is filed under the name uncultured Coriobacteriaceae bacterium. RNAcentral describes it as "bacterial SSU rRNA". It matches the Rfam family "Bacterial small subunit ribosomal RNA", at positions 28 to 776 of the family's 1533-position model. The record is from RNAcentral. Lineage: Bacteria; Bacillati; Actinomycetota; Coriobacteriia; Coriobacteriales; Coriobacteriaceae.
GAUGAACGCUGGCGGCGCGCCUAACACAUGCAAGUCGAACGGUUAAAGCAUCUUCGGAUGUGCAUAAAGUGGCGAACGGCUGAGUAACACGUGGGCAACCUGCCCCUCGCAUCGGGACAGCCUCGGGAAACCGUGGUUAAUACCGGAUACUCCGCCACCCCCGCAUGGGGGAGGCGGGAAAGCCCAGACGGCGAGGGAUGGGCCCGCGGCCUGUUAGCUUGUUGGUGGGGCAGUGGCCCACCAAGGCGAUGAUGGGUAGCCGGGUUGAGAGACCGACCGGCCAGAUUGGGACUGAGACACGGCCCAGACUCCUACGGGAGGCAGCAGUGGGGAAUCUUGCACAAUGGGCGAAAGCCUGAUGCAGCGACGCCGCGUGCGGGACGAAGGCCUUCGGGUCGUAAACCGCUUUCAGCAGGGACGAGGCCGCAAGGUGACGGUACCUGCAGAAGAAGCCCCGGCUAACUACGUGCCAGCAGCCGCGGUAAUACGUAGGGGGCGAGCGUUAUCCGGAUUCAUUGGGCGUAAAGCGCGCGUAGGCGGCCUGCUAGGUCGGGAGUCAAAUCCGGGGGCUCAACCCCCGUCCGCUCCCGAUACCGGCUGGCUUGAGUCUGGUAGGGGAAGGUGGAAUUCCCAGUGUAGCGGUGGAAUGCGCAGAUAUUGGGAAGAACACCGGUGGCGAAGGCGGCCUUCUGGGCCACGACUGACGCUGAGGCGCGAAAGCUAGGGGAGCGAACAGG